AUGGAGCAAUUGGAGAAGAGGAUGGAUGCUGCGGAACAACAAAUCAAAGAGCUGCGUGAGGAUCUUAAUCGGAGAUUUGGUCAGCUGGUUGAGAUGAUAAGAAAGGGUGUCCCCCCUACUACCAAUGAAGGAGAUUCAUCUAAAGAAGAGGAAGAUGUUCAUCAAGGAAGAAGGAGAGGUAAUCUUGGAGCAAGACCGCCACGACAACAUGUUGUUCAACGUGCUUCAAGAAGGCCAAUUUAUGUUGAAGUUUCUGAAGGUGAAGAAUAUGAUGAUGCCCUUGAAGAAGCAGAUCUCUACGCAUAUCGGAGAGUACCCAACUCUACAUAUGCGAGAGAUACAUACAAGGUGAAAGCUGAGAUCCCAACUUUUAAUGGAAAUGUUGAUAUUGAAGGGUGCCUAGAUUGGUUAUAUGAAGUGGAGACUUUCUUUGAGGUCAUGGAGGUUCCGGAAGAUCGUAGAGUUCCUUUGGUCGCAUACAAGCUGAAAGGAGGAGCCGGUGCAUGGUGGCAUCGCGUUCAAGAGGAGCGCAGGCUCAGAGGAGAACCUCGUGUUAGAACUUGGCGACAAAUGAAAGGCCUCUUGAAAGGGAGAUUUUUGCCCGCUGAUUAUGACCAGAUCCUAUUUAUCCAAUUUCAAAAUUGUGCUCAAGGAAAUAGGACUGUUUCAGAUUACACGGAGGAGUUUCUAAGGCUACAAGUGAGGUGCAACCUUGCUGAAACUGAAGAGCAACAAGUUGCAAGGUACAUCAAUGGUCUCAAUGAUGCUAUUCAAGAUCGAUUGAUGAUGCAACAAAUCUGGUCCGUUGAUCAAGCACAAGCUCUAGCCUUAAAGGCAGAGAGGUUUGUGAGGAUGAGAAAGACAACUAAGGCUCCAUAUCCUCCAUAUCCUCAUACCGAAGGCUCAUCUAGGAGCCAACCUAAUAGAGUGGAAGAAAAUACCACUCCACCAAAGACAAAACAGCCCAUCCCGAAGCAAACUAAGGCAAGGGUAAGGCAAAUGAAGGCCCAAAGUGCUAUAAAUGUGGUAAAGAGGGACACAUAUCCAGCGGCUGCCUACUAA
This 1062-nucleotide ribosomal RNA is filed under the name Triticum aestivum (bread wheat). Its description in RNAcentral is "partial small subunit ribosomal RNA". Lineage: Eukaryota; Viridiplantae; Streptophyta; Magnoliopsida; Poales; Poaceae. The record is from RNAcentral.